CACAUGCUUAAGUGCUUUCUUGGACUGGGGCCAAAAUGCUAAUGUGAUGGAGAUUCCCUUUCUCAAGUAACUGCAGUGUUCAGGACUUCAUGUGGACCCCUGGGCCUGCAGGAUUACUGAAAUACACCCAUGACUGGUGAAUAUUGGAUGGUUUGGUUCUUAAACUUUUCAUUUUCAGCAAAACCUUCAUGCAGUGUUGCUAUAUUAUGAGUUUUAUACUUUGCAUAAAAAGAAUAGUUCUUUACUAGGCUGGUGACAGACUUGAAAAGAAACCCUAUUGCUGACCUUAAAUUGAUUUUCUUAUGAGGACAUUUUAUGUUUUCUGUUUGAGGAAAAAACAAGGAUUCCUUCAGCACCUUUUGCUUUGACCCCACUGCCUUAUCUUUAAACUGUUCCUACAACACUUUUGGAAGAAAAUCAGCCUUUGAUGGGCACCACUAAGAUGUUGAAUUCCAACUGCUGGCAGUCCGAUGUAGUCUGCUUUGAUGACAGCAGUGGUAACAAGCCCAAAGCACACGUGUGUGGGAUGUGACAGCGGUGUGCACCUGUCUCGGGCAGGGGGCACCGGGUCUUCCCCGUGGCAGCCUCCUCGGUGGCUGUGCUAAUCACCGGCAGUGACACGGGAGUGACACUCGCCGCGCCCGGCUCACAGGAGCGAGCAGGGCGUUGGGGCUCUAAGUACACAGCUGCUUCUCAAAUUAUGAUGCACAGGGUCAGAGGUCACUGCAGAAAAAGCAGAUAAAAUUAUGCUUCCUACUGCCACCAUGCCACAUCAAAAUGGUAAAUUGUUUGUUUUAUAGUGGGUCUGUCAAGCUGUUCUGCUGUAGCAGACACGUGAAUUUCUCAGCUCGCUUGUAGCACUUUAACAAUAAAGGGGUUUGUUUUCUAAAUAUUGUGCUAGAGAUUUCUUUCUGUUAAUUGUUGUUCUUUGACUGCUGCUAUAAAAUAGAAGUUUUUAGACAUUUUUAAAGUGUUUCCCCGGUGGUGAGGCUUGGCAGCAGGAUGAGGAUGUGGGGCCAGCAGUGCUGCAGGAUUUGUCUGCUCUGGCUGUGCUGUGUGUGGGCACGGCAGCCUGUGGGCUCCCCUUGGAUACCUGGGAUAUGGGAUAAGCUGUGGGCAGAUGGCUGUGCACAGGAUGAACCAUCUAGGUUAAUGACCUGGGCAAUGCUGUCUGCCUUUCUGUUCGUGGCUGCUGCUUCUGUUCCUGCUUCAGAAACAGGGCAGAUCUUUACCCUGUGUGCAGCACCCGCUCACUUUUCUCAGAGUCUCUCGACACCUCUCUGCUGUCCUUUCCACUUGAAUUUGUAUUGAACAAGGGAUGCUGCUUACAAGAAACUUGUGGAACUAAGAGUGAGAACCAGGCUGGAAAAACCAUAAGAGUUCAAAUAUGUAGGGUAUGUGAUGCUUUCUCCAGCUUUGACUUUUUUUGAGUUUCUUUUUAUUGUGAAGGGCUUGUUAAUUUUUUGUUAAAUUCUUCGACCAUAACUGUGACCAAAGAGAGGAAUGCAUUUGACAAGUGCAAUAAAGCAACUGUUCCGUGUUUAUGGCAAGUGCUAUACUUUUAUGCUAUUAAUUCAAAUUGCCUGGAUUUUUAUAAAACUGGGACAGUAUAGGGUUACCUACCUUGCUAGAACAGUUGAAAUGGAUCACACUACAAAGUAGUCCACAUCUCCCUAUCAAAUUUUAGAGAAAAUAAUCUUGGAGUCAUAAGGGAGGCGUAUGUCUCUGGACCACAGCUUUUAGAUGCAUUUUUGUAACCAGCAAAUGUUGGGAGUCCCAAAAAGAAAUAACAAGAAAAUGCCAUUAAGUAAAAUAGAAAGUUCAGUGCAAAAAGUUGCACUGUAUGUGAGGUAGUGACACUUAGGAGGACACAGGUAACUUCAGAAAUGUGUUUUGCUACACUACUGUAUCUAAGUAGAGAAGGUGACUGCUGUACUCAGUCCUCUUCCAAGAGGAAAAGUGGUGGGAAGUGUACAUGGGAAUGAUUUUCUUGAGCAGACUUCUGCUGAAAACCAGAGGCGUGCAAAUAAUUGGUUAUUUUUCUUCAGUUUGAUGGUUGUACAGACAAGGAAAAAUCCUUUGGGACCAGAGAAGUCUUUAGAGAAUGAAGAAAGCAGAAUGUGUUCCAAGACCAAUACACUGCUUCAAUUCCAGUGACUUGGACAUGAGUAACCAUUGGGAGUCGUCCUGUUUCCAUUCUGAAAAGCUGCAGUUGCACAAUGGCAGCUGAAAAGCUGCAGAAGCUCAGAGUGGUGUGUGCAGCUGCUCAGCCCUCUGGGCACAGCCUGCCCCUCUUUCUGCAUCAGGCACACAUAAACUGGGCUGUGGUUUUAGGUCCCUGCCUGAGGACUGCUGACCCUGUCCUACCUGCAAUGUUCCUGAUGUUGGGAAAACGUCAGUCCCCCUUAACUUUCUCAUCAGCACAUCAGCUCCUGUCUUUGUGCCCAUGGAUCCCAAGUUCCUUGUGAAGGAGAGCACUCAGCCUAUGCAAGGUGGUCCUGCACUUCUGAAUUCAUGGCACAGUGAAUGAUGUUUUGGAAGGCAAAGCCUCAGGACUGCUGCACAAAGUUAACAUCAAGUGCUGUCUUGGAAUCCCGGAUCUUUCCUUGGAAUCCUGAAUCUUUCCAGUGAAGCAGAUAGGAAUUCUGAAAGGUUCUGCAGUGUCUGAGAGAUCUUCAACACAGCUUUAAACUUUUGUGACUAUUUAAUGGGAGACAAAUCUUUCCUUGUUUUCUUUUUUUUCCCCCACUUCAUAAUAGCAUUAAACUCAUUUUCUGCAAACCUGCUUUCAACGGUCUAGCUAAUUUAUACUGGAAGUAAUUGGACACACCUAGUGAAAAGCAGAGUGGAAUUUUGCUGUUGAACUGCAAUGUUCUCUUCAAGUCACUGGUCUCUUCCAUUUGAUAAUUGUCAUAACAGCAAUUAAGUAACCUGACUGCUCCUCUUUCCUGCCAGUGAUGAAAACUUAAAAUGAGUCUUCAAAACUGUCACUCUUCUCUAAAGUUUCCUUAAAGAAAUGGCAUUUACUCCUCUCUUAAUAUCUUGCUAUCUAACAUUAGCUUGCUGUUCAGCCUUCAGAGAGCUCUUACUGCAAUAGUCAACCAGGUUAGGGCUUUAGAUACUCUUGGGCUACUGCUUAUCUUGAGGAGUCCAAGGGGAUCAUGGUGAUGCUGUUUGCGACCUCAAUCUCUUGUUGUGUAGAGACCACGUUCAUUUACUCUCAAAUCCAUUAUAAAUUCAUGUUACAUGCUUACUCACUCAUUCCAUAGUGGGAUGCUGCUCCAUACCCAGAGCUGUGAUGUUUCUGGGCAAGAGCAGCAUUUGUGCUGCUGUUGUGGUUGCAGUUUUUCCUGGUGUGCCCUUGGCAUGACAGGUGCUGUAUGGACAGGGGGUUGAAUUGUUCCCUCAGCUCUUGUGUGGGAUUAACCAGGCACUGCCUUUCUUGUGCUUUGUGGGAUUCUCAAUCUCGUAGCCUUCUUCAGCCUUCAGAGAGGCUGUGGGGGUAUGUACAGAAGAGCUGUAUGUCAGCGAGCUGUAAAUUGCUGCCAUCUGCCAGCUCAUGUAGGGGGCUCCCACCUGGUCUGGUGUGUGCUGGGAUCUAUGCUCUAGCUCCAAAUCCUGGCUCCUAGGAUUUGCCUUUGACCGGACCUGUUCUCAAACACUUGAAGGAGGUGGAUGCCUGGUCUCAUCUCUUCAUAAACAAACCAACCUCAUCUGUAGGUGCAUGCAAAAAACCCUCAAAAGACCCAAACCCAAACAAAACCAACAACCAAAUAACCCAAUCCCAAGCCCACAAAAAGCCCCCCAAGCAAUCAAACAAAAACCAAAAAAGCUAUGUGGAUUUAAGGUUUUUUAGCAGUCACUCUCUAGCCUAAAUUCUAUGGGACUUCUUUAUGUUACAGAUUCCUGUCCCAGAGGGGUUUUUAGCAGUCAAGAGGGUUGGAAGGUAUUUGAGCUGCUACAGUAUAUCAUGUUCUCAGCAAGAGCUUCUGCUCUCUGUUCAGUCCAGAGAGGUUCUUAGCCCAUCUCUGUGAGCAUAACUGUAAUGCUACGAAUUAUUCCUUGUGGAAACUUUAGCUAUUGUGCUUAGUGGGUUUACAGGAGCUUUUUCAGUCUGCUUUUAGUGUAUUUGUGUUGGUGGGGAUUCUGAGUGGAAUUACAUGCCCAGGCUUUCAGAUAACUGCUGUAAAUACACAGAUCCACUCUAGUCCCUUACUUCACUGUAGCAGCUGCUGCGGUGUUGCAGAAACUUCAUAGCUUUGACUGCAUCUUAUUAGUUCAGCACACUAUUAAUAUCCCAGAAGCUUUUUGUAUUAGUUUCCACACUUAAUAUUGGUUCUCCUUCUUUCUUCCCUGCCCCCCUUCACACUCAGUCAUUAAACUAAAUUCAUCUUGGGGCUUUUUCAUUUAAGAUGCCCUUGCUGCCCACACCAAAGAGGGGAACCAGACUGGAAGAAAACCAAUUGUGCUAACAGUCACCUGGUAUAUUUAGUGGCAAUGUCAUCUAACAUGCAUUUAUGCUCAGAAGUAGUGCCUUUCUGCUUCUAUAUGGAGCAUUUGUAGUGUUGGCAAAAUCUUUCCAGAGAAACAGCUGCUGAUUGGCUCUUCUUGUCUAUUUGGGGAAGGAUCUGUCCUUAAAUACUUAGUUAUUCUGCUUUCUAAAAAUGGCAUCAAGCACUUGGCACUAUCAGGAUUGGACUCAAAACUUUUACUGAGAUGAACUGGGUGCAUUGCACCAAGACCUGGUGAAUCCUUGUCUCCCCUAGAGGAAUGAUUGCACAAGUACCAGCAAGUGGGUGCAGGUACAUCUAGGGCAAGUCAGUGCCUGGGGCUCUAAAAUGCCAAUUGCAGUCUUCCUCUGGAAGGCUUUAAAACCAAAUGUCACAUUAUUACGGUUAAAUGGCUCUGGUGAAAAGGGCACAGCUGAGCUGCAUUUCAGCUAAUAUUUCUUCUGAAUGUAAAGAAAUCCUGUCCCAAAUGGCAGCAAUGCCUCUCCUUUGAGGUGUUGUGUCUCAGUAAGGUGGAGAACUCAGGCUGUCGUCUGAGUAAGGACUGGGAGCCAACUUGCCUUUGCCAGUCUGUGCUGACCAGAGACAGGGCAAGGAGAAAGGCUCUGCCAGCAUUUGGCACAACUGCCCCAGCCUCCAAAUGCAUAAACCAUCUGACUGACACCUAACUCUGACUGAGGAGAAGGCUCUAGGGUGAGCAGCUCACCAGGAAUAAAAGUGUUUUACCCUUUUGGUAGAGCAUAGGUGCUUCCCACUGUUCCUCAGAGCUUACAAGGUCAGGAAAACUUGACAUCCAGAGAGCUGGUAGGGUACCAUGGGAAGGUUUUUACUCCAGAGCCCAGGGGCUUUGGUCACCUCUGAGCUCUUGCUGUGACACCUCACCCAAGGGAGAACAGUGGGUGAAUCAUGCAAUACUCCUUUGAAACAGAGGCUAGCUUAGGACAGCUUGAGGGUCUAGGACACUGAAAUAUCUUCCUGUCCAGAAUAGUUUGAAUUAGUUGAUCUGCAUGGCAUGCUGCCAGGCUUCAAGGAGAACUAGGGAGGCCUGGCUACUGGUCAGCAGGCUGGACUGGGUGGUAGGAAGUUAUUAAUAGCUGCUCUUCCAUGGAAAGAAUGAGUUUGGCUGAGAUGUGAUGUAAAGCUGCUAACUGGUACAGCAAGCAAAUGCUGAAAGUCUUGUCCAUUAUCACUUGAAUGAGCUGUUAUGCCUUAUGGAGGACCUUGAGCCUCAUGGUCUCAGCUCUCCUGGCACUGGCCUCUGAAUCUGAGCUGUGUGGUUGGGCAGCACAGGUGCAGGUCUGAAGAAAAGAAGCUGUCAGCUCUUGGUCAGCCUCAGGGAGUGGUCGGUGUAUCUUCUCUUCCUCAGCAAGUUUAGGUUCCCUCAAGGUCCCUCAUGAUGCAGUUGUCACCUGUAAGAGUCAACUCUUUGUUUCUGAAACAACUUAAUUUAAGGACAGAGAAGUAAGAAAGAUGCUUUUCUGCACACUAGAAGUUUUGGAAAGAAAUAUUAUCUCAAAACCUCAGACAAGACCAGUUUGGAAAAAAGGUGGAGACUGGGCAAAAUAAAUGAAUAAAAAUUCUCUUGAGUGGAAUGGCAGUGAGGAAUUUCUUAUGGGGGAUUUAGCUGGAUCAAAGGUUACAGUAAAGCACAAGUAAUAGAUUUGCUUUAACUAUACCAGCUGGUCCUCUCCUUUUAAAGACUUGUGGCAGAAUGGCUUUAAUGAUGUUAUUGAGGGCAUCUGUUGGACUUGUUCUUGAGCACUUGAUUAGAGGUAGUAAUUUUUAAGGGGAAGGCUAGGAAAAUCAAGUGGUGUUGCAUUCAGUGUGAAGCUUGUAUUUCCUUUUGUAUUCUUCAGUUCCCUUCAGGAACUUUUCAGUUGCCUUGCAGGAAACUAAUACAAGGCUCUGGGUUAAUACACAGAGGUCUCCAAGCCAAGCCCAGUUUCAUCCCUUGGAACAACUGGUGCUUCUUAAGGGAGAUGCUAGCUCCCAGAAUAUCUACGUGGAUCAAGUUUGUCAUCUCCCUCAUCCUAAAGCUCACACAUCUGAUUGUCCUGCUUAGAAAGAGGGAGGAUGAACAAGAGUCAAUGGAAUAUCCAUUUCUCAUUAAAAAUAGUUCUUCUCCUAGCUAUUGUAGGGAAACUUUAUUUCCUUGGUGGCUUGUUGCUGAUCUCUGCUCUUGUCUGUUGGAUUUCCACCCUGGAAAACAGGUGUAGAGAUGCUAUAAGUAACUAGAAGUCUGAUGCAUGCAGUGAGUUCCUUGAAGACUCUAAAUUACAGUUUUCCUUCCUGUGCUACAACCUCAGGUCCCUGACCUGCAACUGCAGCAUAUUUUCUGUGACUAACAGCUGUAAUUCCCUAAUUAUCAUGCUCUGUUCUCCUGCUGUGCUGUAGAUUUUGUUACCAAGGAAGCAAACCAAGUUUCCUCGUUCCUACUCUUGCUCUGUAUGCUCCCAACUGUUUUAAAUCCACCAUUUGAUGCAGCCCAUAAAGACAAAUGACUAUCUCUUGUUUCAAAUACUCAAAGUUUCCAGAACAUGUUACGUAGCUGCACGCUGGGGACAAAGAAGGAAAAUUAAG
This is a long non-coding RNA of Onychostruthus taczanowskii (white-rumped snowfinch), 7088 nucleotides long. RefSeq lists it as uncharacterized. Lineage: Eukaryota; Metazoa; Chordata; Aves; Passeriformes; Passeridae. The record is from RefSeq and is a predicted model, not a curated record. The transcript is spliced from 3 exons.